GAUGACGGUGGGAUUCGAACCCACGCCCUGAAUCGGACCAGAGCCUAAAUCUGGCGUCUUAGACCUCUCGACCACGUCAUCU
RNAcentral lists this transfer RNA (82 nucleotides) under Belgica antarctica. RNAcentral's name for it is "tRNA IU25_tRNA_65". The record is from RNAcentral. Lineage: Eukaryota; Metazoa; Arthropoda; Insecta; Diptera; Chironomidae.